CUCAGAUAAGUCUGCUCAAACUUGGGUCUGCCGUCCUUGGCAAGCUACUGUCUGUCGCUCUGACAAGGUGUUUAGGGUUUUAUUGUUUUCAUUUCUUGGUUUUGUUUUGUGGAGGCGGCGCUCCUUGGCUGUGACCUUCUGCAUACUGUUGAUAGAAGGUAUAGUUCGUGAUAGUACCUGCAAAGAUGGAAAAUGAACUGGCUCAACUUUCAAUUAAUGAUGAAGAAGAUGAAGUUUUUCAAAUAUAACCAGAUCAUAACAGAGAAAGAAGGGGGAGAUCUUUCAACUUGUGGGUUGUUUCCUAACUGCUAGCGUCAUCCAUUUUCCAGCAAUGAAGAGUACUUUGGCUAAUUUGUGGCAUCCAGUUUGGGGCAUUUAGAUCCGAGAUCUGGGAGAGAAAAGGUAUUUGUUCCAAUUUUUUCAUACUAUGGAUAUGGAAAGGGUUAUUAAGGGUUCUCCUUGGACCUUCAACAACCAUUUGCUGCUUCUUUUUAAAUUGAAUUAGAGAGAGGAUACACUACAAGUACCCUUAGUUAUGACGUCGUUUUGGGUUCAAAUACAUGAUGUCUCCAUUGGGUUAUUUUCUGAAAGCUUGGCUGUUCAAAUGGGGAAUUUUUUAGGGGUUUUUCCAGAAUAUGAUGGCUCUAAUUUAGGCAAGGAGAAUAGGAAUUUUAUGAAGAUCAGAGUACAAAUUGAUGUAAGGCAUCCUUUAAAAAGCAAGAAGCAGGUUUUGUUCUCUGGAAGAAGGUCAUAUGUUACUUUCAAAGAUGAGCUAUUAUCGUUAUUUUGUUUUUUCUACAGAAGAUUGGGUCAUAGCGAUUCCUUUUGUGAAGCAAAGAUGACACUAGGGGUGGAAGUAGCUAAAAUGGGAUGGAAUUUGUCAUUACGAGCUCAGACCCGUAGAGCAUUAGCAAUGAACAACAUAUGGUUAAGAGAUGAUGGGUAGGGGAAAGUGGGCGAAGUGGGGGAUGUAUUGAAAGAGGAGGAAGUGGGUACUGGAGGGUGGAAAAUAAAAGAAGAUGCGUAAAACUUGUGGAUCCAGUUCUUGGUUUUAAUUUAGAAAGGAGUUCACCAGGUUCUAAUCAAAGGGUGACAGAGGUUUUGUCAAAACAACUUCAUGAAUCCAUGGAACACAAUUUGGAGGACCCAACAUUAGUAGGAGAGGAGGGAAAGAAAAGAUCUAGAGUUGAAUAUGAUAAUUCCAACGAAAAUGAUGAUAACAGUAAGGUGAUGUCCAGAAAUAGGAAAUUGGAGGAAUGCAAUCUAAUAUUAUCGGCGGCUGCCAAAAGGCAAACCGACCGAACGCAAUGAACAUUUUAAGUUGGAAUGUUUGGGGUUUGGGGAGACCUCAAACAAUCAGGAGACUUUGGCACUCGCUGAAGACUUGUAAUCCCCAAUUAGUCUUCUUUAUGGAGACUAAAAUUUGUAGUUUACAAAUGGAGAGAGUUCGAAGAAGUUGUGGCUUUGCGAAUAGAAUUGAGGUCUAUUCGGAUGGAACGAGAGGAGGCUUGUGUAUGGCAUGGAAAAAUGAUACUGAGAUAACACUUAAAAGUUUUUCAAAGAGACACAUUGAUGUGAUCAUGGAUGACACAGAAAUCAGCAGAAAGUGGCAUCUCAGAGGCUUUUAAGGUACACCUUAUGCUCAAGAUAGAGAAGACUCUUGGGCUGUACUAAAAAUUCUUAACCACGAUGAAGAUACCCCAUGGCUUGUUUGCGGGGACUUUAAUGAAAUUAUGUAUGGCUUUGAAAAACAGGGAGGCUUACCUAGAGAAGAAAAAAGGAUGGAACUGUUCCAAAAGACGCUAGAGGAAUGUCAACUAAAUGAUGUGGGCUUUUCAGGGAGGUGGUUUGCUUGGGAGAGGGGGAAUCUACCUGAGACAAAUAUACGAGAACGACUCGAUAGAGGGGUUGCUAAUACAAGUUGGAUGGCUUUAUUCCCUGAAGUGGUAGUCCAACAUCUGGUUAAUUCUUUUUCAAAUCAUUGGCCCCUAUUGAUUGAGACUAGUAAAGAAGAGGUCAAGAGAAGAAAAGUUAAUUUCAGAUUUGAAGCAUGAUGGACUCUAGAAGACUCAUUUAAUGAAGAAGUUAAAAACCUUUGGGGAAGGGCAGUAGGAGAUCUUUCGCAAAAGCUUGAGUUUCUGAGAAUAGGACUGAAAAGAUGGGCGGGACAGAUACGAACAAAUAGAAAUUGGAAGAAGGAGAUGUUAAUAAAGAAAUUAUCAGAAUUAGUAGAAGCUGAAAGGGAUGAUAGGAAUUUAGCUAACAUGAUUGACGCAAAAAUUCAGCUAAACUUUGAAAUUGAAAAGAAAGAAUAUUACUGGGAACAGAGGGCUCAGUUAAACUGGUUGCAACUUGGCGAUAGAAACACAGCUUUUUUUCACAGUCAUGCAACACAAAUGAGAAAGAAAAAUCAGAUUAAGAAGCUACAAAAUGACAAUGGAGAGUUCACGAAAAACGUUCGGGAAAUAGAGGACAUUGCACGGGUGUAUUUUGAGAAUUUAUUCAAAGCUAGGAGGACUGCUUUUAAUGAACAUAUUUUUUCGAGUAUUAAACGCUGUAUCUUUGAUGAAGAUAAUAGUAAGCUCUUAGCGCCUUAUGAGGAAGUGGAGAUUCGGGGAGCUUUGUUUGAGAUGGGGUCCACAAAAGCACCAGUGGAAGAUGUAUUUCCAACCCCUUUUUACCAAAGAUGCUGGGAUAUCAUUGGGAGUGAUAUUGUUUCCUUUUGCCUAAAUCUUCUAAAUGGAAAGAUGGAGGUUAGUUCUAUUAAUGCAACUCAGAUUAUGUAACACCCCUAUCCCGUAACCGUCGCCAGAAUAGGUAAGGGGCAUUACCGGACUUGUAACUCAUGUUAGAACAGUAAAAUUUUGAACUUUUUCUUGAAAUAAAGAUCGUUCGUUUAAAUAAGUACUAAGCACAACCAGAGGUAAAAUUUAAACUUCACUAAGUAAACAUUCAAAAGAUGCCAUUUUCGCAUGGCUUAUAUACAUUAACCAAAGAUAUUCUUCCGCCACUAGUCUAUUCUAUACAUGCCAUAAGAUAAUCCAAAACGUAGCAGUACCAAACAAUGGAUAGUGAUAGUGUGACUAGUUGCUGAUGAUCCCCGAGCUUGUAGCUUCCAAAUGAGAUCUAUAAAACAGAGCAAACAGAGUAAACGGAGUAAGCAUUACAAUGCUUAGUAAGUUUUAAGCAGUGUCAACAGAUAACAAUCAAAUUAUAACAUAGUUGUUCGUAUAGUUUAUUUCACUCUUCCUUCGGGCAUACCAUCCCUUUUUCCGAAUAUGCACAUCUCAUCAUAUACAAUAGGCAGAUAAACUUUCAUAUAAAAGUGAGCUCAUGUGACAUAGAUAUAUCGUAUGAUUUCACAUAACCUCUCACACUGAUCCGAUGUCACAUAAUCAUAGGAAUAGUCUCAUAGAUUGCUCUCUAUGCAUCACAUAACUACCUUAUGAUUUAGUGCAAAUCAAGCUCACAUAUAAACUUGGAGUACAUACUUGUUUAACCUUUCGCAUUGAAUAUAUUUAUAAGCAAUUCUUAUUACGAAGUCUUACCCGGACAUAAUCUCCACACGAAAUUAUCGGGUCUUACCCGGACAAAAUCCCCACACGUAGUCAUCGGGUCUUUAGAGCUCAGAUAUAGUACGAGCACGAAGCUUACGGACAUUAAUCAGUGAUAAUAUUCUCGCAUAAAGCCUGCGGGGUUUUAACCCGGAUAUAGUGCUGACACAAAUGCCCUUCGGGACGUAUCACAUUUAUACACUUUCACAUCCAUCACGUUGGCCACUCGGCCCUGUCACAUAUAUACACUUUCACAUUCAUCACAUCGGCCAUUAGGCCUUAUCACAUAUAUACACUUUCACAUUCAUCACAUCGGCCAUUAGGCCUUAUCACAUAUAUACACUUUCACAUUCAUCACAUCGGCCAUUAGGCCUUAUCACAUAUAUAUACACUUUCACAUUCAUCACAUCGGCCAUUAGGCCUUAUCACAUAUAUACACUUUCACAUUACCAACCCUUUUAUUCAUACACAAAGAUCAACUUAGCCAAAGGCCGGUAGCUCAUUUAUCAACUGAGCGAAUACUUAUUUGUAAGGGCUCAACUAAUUCAAAGCACAUACGAAACAUACCUCAAUGUUUGGAUGUUUCAAGCGUAUUAACUAAAAUUUUUACAGCAAGAUCAUUCAUUCCCAAAUCACAUACCUUCGGAAUUUAACCGGAUAUAGCUACUCGUUCAAAUGCCUUUGGGACAUAGCCCGGUUAUAGUAACUCGCACAAAUUCCUUCGGGACUUAACCCGGAUUUAGUAACUAGCACAAAUGCCUUCGGGCUUAGCCCGGAAUUAGUAUCUCGCACAAAUGCCUUCGGAUCUUAGUCCGGAUUUAGUAUCUCGCACAAAUGCCUUCGGAUCUUAGUCCGGAUAUGGUCACUUAGCACAAAGCCUUCGGGACUUAGCCCAGACAUCAUUCAAAUAACCAUGCACAUUUAACAAUAAAUCAUGGCACAUUCGUAUUUCAUUUUCGUUAGCAAAACUCAAACACAAGACACUUAUCAUUCUUGCAAUUUCGGCUCAAUAGCCACACACAAAGAGCAUGAUUUUGAUUUGCUUAAAACAUGAUCUAAUCAAAUCAUAAUUUAAGCUCUAUUACUCAAGAACUUACAAUAUCACGAUUUAGAAUUCAAGUAUGGGUUUAAUCAAUAGCUUGUGAGCAACUAAAACAAGUUUAUCAAGGUUCACAACAUAAUCUCAAAUUCAGCACAAGCUGUUUUUCCUGAGCAAUAGUCACUAAAUUAUUUAUAACUAGAGCUAAAAAACUCCAAAUCACUUUCCGUUAAUUUUUCCUGAAUAUAGACUCGUAUAUCUUCCACCCAUAAAAUUUCCAGAAUUUUAGGUUUGGCCAAUCAAUACCAGAUUUUUCUUAAAGUUUCCCCUGUUUCACUGUUUGACUAAUCUAACCACUCUUCACUACGAAUCAAAUUUCUCAUUUUACAGAAUUCAAAAUGUGUUUUAUUUGAUUCCAUUUGAAACUAGACUCAUUAAUGAGUCUAAGCAUAUAAAUUUUAUCUUAUAAACAUUUUUUUACAAUUUAUAAUGAUUUUCUAAAAACAGAACAGGGGAUUUCGGAGUCAUUCUGACACCGUCUCACACAACUUUAAAUAUCUCAUUAUCGGAAAUUCCUUUGCUUACACGGUUUCUUUUAUAAGAAACUAGACUCAUUAAGCUUUAAUUUCAUGUCUCAUUCAGCCUCUAAUUCAAGUCCAUAAAUUUAUGGUGAUUUUCUAAAGUCACGUUACUGCUGCUGUCCGAAGCAGACUAUUUCAAAUUACCCUUAAAUUCCCAAGCUCAAACACUUAAGAACUUACCAUUUGAGCUUAGAACAUAUCAUGGCCACAUCAUAUCUUAUUAAAUCAACUCAUCAUGUCCUAUUAUAAUUGAAUUUACUCAACGUUUAAACACUUAAAACUUACCUUGGAUGUGGUCGAACAAUUUCGGCAGCUAUUCGAUCACUUCUUCCCUUCCCUUAUCCAACUUUGGUCCUCUAAGCUCUUGAGCUUAAUUUAACAAAUAAAUUGAUUUAAUCAUUUGAGCAUCAAAAGAGGAACUCAAGGUACUUAGCCCAUAUAUACAUACAUUAGACAUUAAAGUCACAUACAUAUGAAAUCAUAAAUCAAUUCAACAUAUUAGCCCACACUCUCUUUUAGCCGAUUGUCUAAGCCAAGAUAAAAGCAUCAAUAUGCUUGCCUCUAGCCGAAUACAUGCAACACCAAGCAAGAAUGAUGCAUCCAUGGCCGAGUAUCAUCUUCAUAACUUUACAAAAACAUUUGCCAUGAGCUAGCUUCUAUACUUGGUGGCCACUCCAAAUAUACAAAGAUUUUCAAUGAUAGAGCAUUAACAUACCUUAAUACAUCAAAAUAAUUAAAUUCUUCCCAUGGCACACUAAAACCGAAUAUGUCUUAUUCAAAUAUAAAUUCUCAUAUUUCAUUUAUUUAACCAUUUAACCCUCCUAUCAAAUAAUUUUCACAAACUAAUCUUAAACUCAAAAUCACAUAAAAUCGUAACACAAAAGGCAUUCAUCUAACACUUGAUUUCUAAAUUCUAACAUCAAACUCAAAUUUCUUAGCUCAUCAACUCAUGGCCGAACAUCAAUUAUUCACCAAAACAAAAAUUAACUCAUGGGUUUUAGAGAAAAUUAAGUAAGGAAUUCAAUGAUACUAAAAAUUAACAAAAACAACCUGAAUUUCACCUUGAAUUUUUGCUUCCAAAUGGCCGAAACUUCAAAGCCACAAAUUUUAUUUUCUUUCUCCUUUGUUCGGCCUCCAAGAUGAACUACAUGCAUGUUCUUUUUUUCUUUUUUUUUAUGCCCCAUACCGUCCAUAUCAAUUGUCUAAGGUUAAAUAUCAUCACAAAUACUCCAACUUACAAAAACAACUUCAAUUCGGCCCUGAAGAUACAAACAUGCAUGGCUUUCCAUUUUAUGUUUUAUAAUACUUAUUUUUAUGUUUUAUAAUACUUAUAAAAAUAAUUAUCUCACAAAUAACUUUAAAAUAAACAUAUAAAGACAUCAUGCAUUAAGCCAUUACCAUCCAUAUAUUUAUUAAUGAUAUAAUUGCCAUUCAAAACCUCAAUAUUCUAAAGACAUAACACUUUAACAUUUUCAUGAUAGCAUGCUUAUUAAUCAAUUGAUGCAUUUUAAUCCUUUUUAAUGACAUAAAGAAAGAAAGAAAAAUAUUUACCAAGAGUUUCAAACUACUUGGCCGAAUAUCAAACCUCCAAACAACCAAAAAAUUUAACUCAUGGAAUGGAUAGAAUUUGAACAAAUCACCAAAAUUAUAUAUAAAUUUUCAAGAAUUUCAAAGUACUUACCUCUUUCUAAAUAUUCUCCAAGCCGAAAUCAUACAAAGAAAUUUUUUUCUUCCUUCUAAUCUCAAGUUACGGCAAUGGUAGAGUGAGGAUGAACCAACUUUGUUUUUAUCACCCAUUUCUUUUAAUAUAAGUUCAUAUUUCAUAUUAUUUAUUCAUUUAACAUUUAAUUUAUUAAUAUAAAAGGCAUAUAUUUUGUAUCCCAUGCUCCUUAUUUUAUCAUACUUCCCAUGAAACACUAACUUAACAUGUUUAUGACAUGUUCUUGCCCAUCACACUUGGUCUACCAUACUUGUCAUGGCCGGCCACUACUAAUUAGGGGGGAAAUUGACAUGCAAGUCCCCCCUUUUUAUUUCAUGCACUAAUAGAUCCUUAUGCUUUGACCUAUCACAUUUCAAAAUUUUCUCACAUAAGUCCUAUUUGAUAAAAUUCACUUACUAUUAACAAAAUUCAAACAUGAAAUUUUCACACAUGCAUAUGUACAUAUAAUGAGCAUCAACUAUGACGGUUAAUUAUCUUUAUGACUCGGUUUAGUGGUCCCGAAACCACUUUCCGACUAGGGUCACUUUAGGGGUGUCACAGAUUAUGCUUAUUCCAAAGAUUAUUAAUCCUUCUAAUCUGACUCAUUUUCGGCCAAUUAGUCUCUGUAAUGUUAUUUAUAAACUUGUGGCAAAGGUGAUUGCAAAUAGAUUUAGAGGAGUCAUUGAUAAAUGUAUUGAUGAAGCACAUAAUGCAUUUGUGCUAAGGAAACUCAUAACAGAUAAUGCACUAGUGGCCUAUGAAGUUUUACAUUCAAUGAAACAGAAGAGAGGGGGGAAGAAGGGAUUUAUGGCCAUCAAGUUAGAUAUGAGUAAGGCCUACGACAAAGUAGAAUGGAAUUUUAUUCAAGAAAUUAUGAGUAGAAUGGGUUUUUCUCAAAAAUGGAUUGAAUCUAUUAUGAAAUGUAUCUUUAGUGUUUCUUAUUCAGUAGUGGUUAAUGGUAACAAAAGAGAUAUAUUCUAUCCAACAAGGGGACUUAGACAAGGAGAUCCAUUAAGCCCUUUUUUAUUUCUGAUAUGUGGAGAGGGUCUAUCAGGUCUAAUGCGAAUGGCUAUUAGCGAAGGAGUUAUAAAAGGUGUUAAAGCUAGUAGAAGUGGCCCCAGGGUGUCUCAUUUACUAUUUGCUGAUGACUGCAUAAUGUUUUAAGAAGCAACAAGAAGGGGAGUAAGAGCAAUCAAGCAGAUUUUGCGUGAAUAUAAAAAUAGUUCAGGUCAGUUCGUAAACUUUGAAAAAUCAGCAGUAUUUUUUAGCAACAACAUAUCUGUGGAAGUUAGGCAAAUAGUGAUCACCCAAUUGGGAAUCCACAGCUCCAAUGAAUUAGAAAGGUAUUUAGGACUGCCAAGUUUAGUUGGGAAAAGGAAAAAAGAAUCUUUUCAAGCAUUUAAGGACAAAAUGAAACAGCGGAUUGAUAAUUGGUGUAUGAGAUUACUGUCUCAAGGUGGAAAGGAAAUAUUUAUUAAAUCAGUUUUACAAGUGAUACCGACUUACUCAAUGGCUUAUUUUUUUAUUACUGAAGACAUUAUGUGAUGAAAUGGAAGGCAUUGUAGCCAAGUUUUGGUGGCAAAAGGGACGUGGAAAGAAAGGAAUUCAUUGGUGUUUAUGGAGAAAUAUGUGUUCUUUAAAAGAAGUUGGAGGUAUGGGUUUCCGAAUUUUUUGCCAAUUUAAUGUUGCGUUAUUAGCCAAGCAGGGCUGGAGCCUUAUUAAUAAUCCGAGUUCCUUAUUAGCCAGAGUUUUUAAAGCCAAAUAUUAUCCAUAAUCAAAUUUUUUAAACGCAUAGUUGGGUUAGUUACCUUCAUAUACCUAGAAGAGCAUUUAGGCAGCACGAGGGCUCAUUCAGGAUGGGUUGUGUUGGAAAGUCAGUCGAGGGACCGAGAUUGAUGUCUGGACUGAUUGCUGCAUUCCUGGAUGUGAAGCCAUUGGUAGACAAGGUAGAGAGACAAACAGUGAUGUCCUAUUAGUUUCGGAUUUAAUCAAUAAUACUAGUAGGACUUGGAAGCGAGACCUGAUCAAUAAUACCUUUCAAUCAGGCAUAGCGCAAAAAAUUUUGAAGAUUCCUUUGGCAGAGUCAGAACAUGUUGACUUUCAGGUGUGGAAAGAGGAACCUUCAAGGGAGUUCUCAGUAAGAAGCGCCUAUAAACUAUUACAUCAUUCUAGCUCGAAUCCUAAUAUUUAUCCAUUACAACCCAAAAUAAGAAACUUCUAUAGAAAAUUGUGGGAUUUACAGCUACCGGGUAAAAUAAAGAUACUAGUUUAGCGAAUUUCCUGGAACUACAUCCCUUCCCUAAUAAAUCUAAGAUCCAAGAAAGUAAUAGAGAAUGCUCUGUGCCCUCGGUGCAGACUCAAAGAGGAAGACAGUAACCAUAUCUUUAGAUUUUGUCCUGCAAUCAGUGAAAUAUGGAAUCUCAUUAAUCUCUCUUAGACCAUUGAUCAUGAUAAUCAAAGUUUCUAGAAGUGGCUUAUCUGGGUUUUUGAAAGGAGUACAAUGGAGCAAUGUCGGUCCUUUUGUUGUGCGCUAUGGUGCGUUUGGAGUUCCCGAAAUCAGCUUGUACAUGAAAAGAAAAUCAUACCAGUUAGGGAUUUAGCAAGGAAAGUCAGCAGUUACAUAGCAGAACUGGAAGGGAUCCGAAUGAAAACAUUUACCUCUUCUUCCAAAAGGGACAACAGUUAUACUAGGGCGACGGAGGGUACCACAGUUCAGUUUGAUGCCGUUUUUGACAAAAGAAAUGAUAGAUCUGCCUCAGGUAUAGUCGUUCGAGACUAGACAGGAGCUUUAAAAGCCUCAAAGUCAGUUAUACAUGAGGAUACCCCGACCCCGUUCGCAGCAGAAGCCCUCGCAGGAUUAGAUGCCAUUAAGUUAGUAAUAGAAAUGAGGUUAACAACAGUAACAAUAGAGAGGGACUCGAGAAUAGUCAUUCAAAAAUGUCAAUCGACAGAAAUUGAUAAGUCGGUCCUUGGGGUGAUUAUUUAUGACAUACAGACCAGAAAAUCCAGGGGUUCAAGACGUUACUUUCAAGUUUAUCCAUAGAACGAAUAACAUUCAAGCCCAUAAUCUAGCAAAAAAAGGGUUGGAGAGAAGGGAGGACUCAUACCUGGGAGGGAAGACGACAAUUCAUAGAGUUGCAGACUCAGAGGGAAGAUGGAGAGAAUCGCCAGAUUGAAGAUGAAUGGACAAGGAGUAGGGUGCAGUUAAGGGUAGCAAGGAAUUGAUAUCUUAGGGAACGACUAUCUGCAAAGGCAUGGCUGUUGGGACGUGAAAAGACGAGUAAAGAAUUAAAUGGCCAGGCUGUUAGAUGUGACUGGGAGAUUUUCUGUUGAUUUCCUUUUGUUUUUCUAUUUUUUUAUUCUUUAUUGUCUUUUAUCAUCAUUUCUGAGAAACGGGCUAGCUAUUAAGGAAGCCCAACUUAGUUUGUUUUGUUUGUUUGGCAGUCGGACUUAAGCCCAAAUGUUAAUUUGGGUAUUGGUUUUAUUCUAUUUGUAAAGAGCCC
RNAcentral lists this long non-coding RNA (10376 nucleotides) under Gossypium barbadense (sea-island cotton). Its description in RNAcentral is "long non-coding RNA (GBAR_LNC009184)". The record is from RNAcentral. Lineage: Eukaryota; Viridiplantae; Streptophyta; Magnoliopsida; Malvales; Malvaceae.